Molecule: ribosomal RNA, 262 nt
Filed under: uncultured bacterium
Lineage: Bacteria
Description: partial 16S ribosomal RNA
Rfam family: Bacterial small subunit ribosomal RNA
Source: RNAcentral
AACAAAGAGAAGCGAAACAGUGAUGUGGAGCAAAACUCAAAAGGACGUCUCAGUUCGGAUUGUAGUCUGCAACUCGACUACAUGAGGCUGGAAUCGCUAGUAAUCGCGAAUCAGAAUGUCGCGGUGAAUACGUUCCCGGGCCUUGUACACACCGCCCGUCAAACCAUGAGAGUUGGCAACACCCGAAGUCGGUAGUCUAACCGCAAGGAGGACGCCGCCGAAGGUGGGGUUGAUGAUUAGGGUUAAGUCGUAACAAGGUACC